Molecule: ribosomal RNA, 446 nt
Filed under: uncultured bacterium
Lineage: Bacteria
Description: bacterial SSU rRNA
Rfam family: Bacterial small subunit ribosomal RNA
Source: RNAcentral
GGCCAGACUCCUACGGGAGGCAGCAGUGGGGAAUAUUGCACAAUGGGGGAAACCCUGAUGCAGCGACGCCGCGUGAGUGAAGAAGUAUUUCGGUAUGCAAAGCUCUAUCAGCAGGGAAGAAAAUGACGGUACCUGACUAAGAAGCCCCGGCUAACUACGUGCCAGCAGCCGCGGUAAUACGUAGGGGGCAAGCGUUAUCCGGAUUUACUGGGUGUAAAGGGAGCGUAGACGGCAUGGCAAGUCAGAUGUGAAAGCCCGGGGCUCAACCCCGGGACUGCAUUUGAAACUGUCAGGCUGGAGUGCAGGAGAGGUAAGUGGAAUUCCUAGUGUAGCGGUGAAAUGCGUAGAUAUUAGGAGGAACACCAGUGGCGAAGGCGGCUUACUGGACUGUAACUGACGUUGAGGCUCGAAAGCGUGGGGAGCAAACAGGAUUAGAUACCCCAGUA